RNAcentral lists this ribosomal RNA (433 nucleotides) under uncultured bacterium. RNAcentral's name for it is "partial 16S ribosomal RNA". It matches the Rfam family "Bacterial small subunit ribosomal RNA", at positions 29 to 507 of the family's 1533-position model. The record is from RNAcentral.
AACGAACGCUGGCGGCAGGCCUAACACAUGCAAGUCGAGCGAGGACUUCGGUCCUAGCGGCGGACGGGUGAGUAACGCGUGGGAACGUGCCCUUUGCUUCGGAAUAGCCCGGGGAAACUGGGAGUAAUACCGGAUGAGCCCUUUGGGGGAAAGAUUUAUCGGCGAAGGAUCGGCCCGCGUUGGAUUAGGUAGUUGGUGGGGUAAUGGCCUACCAAGCCGACGAUCCAUAGCUGGUCUGAGAGGAUGAUCAGCCACACUGGGACUGAGACACGGCCCAGACUCCUACGGGAGGCAGCAGUGGGGAAUCUUAGACAAUGGGGGAAACCCUGAUCUAGCCAUGCCGCGUGAGCGAUGAAGGCCUUAGGGUUGUAAAGCUCUUUCAGCUGGGAAGAUAAUGACGGUACCAGCAGAAGAAGCCCCGGCUAACUCCGUG